GACGAACGCUGGCGGCGUGCUUAACACAUGCAAGUCGAACGGAAAGGCCCUGCUUUUGUGGUGUGCUCGAGUGGCGAACGGGUGAGUAACACGUGAGUAACCUGCCCUUGACUUUGGGAUAACUUCAGGAAACUGGGGCUAAUACCGGAUAGGAGCUCCUGCUGCAUGGUGGGGGUUGGAAAGUUUCGGCGGUUGGGGAUGGACUCGCGGCUUAUCAGCUUGUUGGUGGGGUAGUGGCUUACCAAGGCUUUGACGGGUAGCCGGCCUGAGAGGGUGACCGGCCACAUUGGGACUGAGAUACGGUCCAGACUCCUACGGGAGGCAGCAGUGGGGAAUAUUGCACAAUGGGCGGAAGCCUGAUGCAGCAACGCCGCGUGCGGGAUGACGGCCUUCGGGUUGUAAACCGCUUUCGCCUGUGACGAAGCGUGAGUGACGGUAAUGGGUAAAGAAGCACCGGCUAACUACGUG
RNAcentral lists this ribosomal RNA (468 nucleotides) under uncultured bacterium. Its description in RNAcentral is "partial 16S ribosomal RNA". It matches the Rfam family "Bacterial small subunit ribosomal RNA", at positions 28 to 507 of the family's 1533-position model. The record is from RNAcentral.